Dreissena polymorpha is the source of this 412-nucleotide long non-coding RNA. RefSeq lists it as uncharacterized. NCBI's taxonomy places the organism in Eukaryota, Metazoa, Mollusca, Bivalvia, Myida, Dreissenidae. The record is from RefSeq and is a predicted model, not a curated record. The transcript has 3 exons.
AAUACGCAGAACCUAGAAUAGAUAGCUGCUUGGUUAUCAGUGCGUAUAUAUACGUGCGGCAGUCGUGAGACCCAUUUGAAGUCGAAUAGCUGAACAGUUGGUCUACAAACACGAAAAAAGAUGAAAGUUUGUGCCACUGUCGCUGCCCUGUACGUCCUGUUAGUAGGAAUAACUGCGAAGGCCUUGCCUAGACAGAUUGGCGAAUCGUGUCCACUAUUUUGCCCCGCCCUCUACGCACCUCUGUGUGGCUCCGAUGGAAAAACAUACGAUAACAAUUGCCUGUUUCACCGAGCCCAGUGCAUGGAUCAGACCGGAAGUCUCACCAUCGUGUCGCACCGUUCAUGUGAUGAUGAGCUGGUGGCAUCGUGAAUCCCUCGGGGGACAAUUUGAAUAAAUUAUACCGAGAAUAGAA